This 398-nucleotide ribosomal RNA is filed under the name Oenococcus oeni. RNAcentral's name for it is "bacterial LSU rRNA". It matches the Rfam family "Bacterial large subunit ribosomal RNA", at positions 2527 to 2925 of the family's 2925-position model. Lineage: Bacteria; Bacillati; Bacillota; Bacilli; Lactobacillales; Lactobacillaceae. The record is from RNAcentral.
CGAUGUCGGCUCAUCGCAUCCUGGGGCUGUAGUCGGUCCCAAGGGUUGGGCUGUUCGCCCAUUAAAGCGGUACGCGAGCUGGGUUCAGAACGUCGUGAGACAGUUCGGUCCCUAUCCGUCGUGGGCGCAGGAAAUUUGAGAGGAUCUGUCCUUAGUACGAGAGGACCGGGAUGGACAUACCUCUGGUGUACCAGUUGUUCUGCCAAGAGCACCGCUGGGUAGCUACGUAUGGAUUAGAUAAUCGCUGAAAGCAUCUAAGUGAGAAACUAACCUCGAGAUGAGAUUUCCCAUUCGUCAGAAGUAAGACCCCUGAGAGACGAUCAGGUAGAUAGGCUAGAAGUGGAAGUGUAGUGAUGCAUGGAGCGGACUAGUACUAAUAGGUCGAGGACUUAACCAAG